UCACUGAGCAGUCUAGUGCUGUCUGAAACCUCUCCCGAGAUCUUUUCACAUCAUCAAUAGGUGAUGUGUGUAUGCUAUAAGGCUGGUCUGUUUCAUCUCCUUUAACUAGAAUGACUAUUGUCUCAUGGCCUGUAGGGGGGUUGUGGAAUAUAUCCUUACAAUUACAGGGGUCUCUGGCUAGAAGAAGUACUUUUCAGCCCUCAAAAUGUCAUGGAAACAAUCUUUCCAGCCUAAGUUAAAAUAAAACUUCAGAGACAGAGGGUUUGUAGAUGCCAGAGAUGGAGGUCGAGGGGACCAUGAAGAGGCGGCUCCAGCUGGCAUCAGAUCGAGAGUGUGGGCGCAAGAGCAGACUUUUGAUAAAGGAGGCGUGUCGGCCUUGGAGAUGAGAAUCACGCCAACUCGGAACGAUCCCCUCUCUUUGUGCAGUUCAUCGACUGUGUGUGGCAGAUGAUGAGACAGGUGAAACCCAGGGCUCAAACCAAGAGAAGACAUUCAGAGCUAUUCAUUGUUUAAAGUCCAUUUAACGAGUUUCCUUCUGCUUCUGAGUUCAAAGAGCUUUUUCUCAUCCCCAUCCUGGAGCGCCCCUACAGCUGCCUGUUUGGUACAUUCCUCUACAGCAGUGAGCAGGAGAGAAUGGAAAAGGAAGUACAGGGUAGAACGGUCACUGUGGUCCUACGUUAACAGUCAGCCGGAGGACUUCACUAACCCGUUCUAUGUGGACUGUAAAAACCAGGUGCUGUAUCCACUGGCCAGUCUCACACAUCUGGAGCUCUGGGUGGGUUAUUAUGUGCGCUGGAACCCACGCAUGAGACCACAGAUGCCGCUCCAUCAGAAUCUGAGAGAGUUAUUGUUUUUGCGUGAAGAACGUGGAGGAGCUCCAGAGAGAGGCCACGUCAUCCUGCUCCAUCUCCUCAUCCUCAGAGCAUACUUCUCCCUCCUCACAUAGUGGAGGCAGUUCAGCUGGACGGAGAGAUCCUGCAUGCGCUGUGAAGCGAGUGUGUUCUGUGGCGUAUCGGCACCUGGACAAGCACAAGAUCGAGCCGGUGCUCUACAUGAUGGAGUGGUUCAUGUGCGCCUUCUCCAGAACUCUGCCCUGGGCCUCGGUCCUCCGAGUGUGGGACAUGUUCCUGUGUGACGGUCAGACACAAACACACACUUGUCCUUCUUUUCUUUCUGUGUUGAUUCUCUCUCUCAUUCUUUCUUUGUGUAGGAGUGAAAAUGAUAUUCUGUGUGGGUUUGGUGGUGUUGACGUCCAUGCUGGUACUCGGGAUAAGCUCAAGGCCUGUCCGGGUCAGUAUGAGACCAUGGAGGUCCUCAGAGCGAUUGAGCCUAGAUACAUGCAGGAGGGCUUCUUAGUGCUCCAGGUUCUGGAGUUGCAGGUAUCGGCACAGGACGUGGAACGUGAGCAACGCACGCAACUGAAGCGCUGGAAGAAGAAGCACGGCGAGCCCGGCCCCAAACUCCCUCAGAGAAUGCACAGUGCUCGCGCCAUCAUAGCCACCAAGCCUCAUACACACCAAGACCUCCGCCAGAAACCCACCAUUAUGGUCCAGUACCCAUCGGUCCCUGAGGAGAAGUCCGAGCCGAACCUCAGGAAGAAGAGAGGGAGCCUGAAGAAAAACCAAGCCCUCAUUCCGAACCCCUACGCGCUACCUGGCGAGUCUAAACCUAGUCAGAUAUUGGACAUACAGCUUCUGAACCAGGAAAAUCUCAAUCUUGUACUUCCAAAUACACCAUCACAUCCACCACGGCUCCCUACAAUGCAGGAAAAUCAGGUCGAAGAGACGAGCACUUCUACAGAGCGACUCGUGCAGCGUCCUCGAAUUCCUCCAUCGACAAGAAACUGGCGGAAUCUAUCCCUCUGCAACAUCUAUCCCUCCUAACUGCUCCUGUACACGGAUCACCUUCAGCGUAGCGUCCUCACCUGCUGAAAUGUGCUCCUGUCCAAUCCGGACAACCUGACCAUGAUGAGCUCCCUAAUAAUACAUAAAACUCAGCCACCAUUUUGGAUCCAUCUACAGACUCAAGCCCUCUGCUAACGCACAACGCACCUGCCACCCACGACUCGCCUGCUGCUCCCGAGUACAAAAAGAACACUCAUUGAUUUAUUUUUUUUGUUGUGCGUGUUAAACAGUGUGAUACGUUGAGGAAUUGAUUAUUGGCACACGUCUACUGAAUAGCAAGGAUCGUUAAGUCUUUAACGUGUGUAAACUAUACUUGUUAUAAACUAUACGUGUUAUAGUUUACACCGGAGGAACUGCAAACAAUCUGAGAGAGGACCACACUUGGUCCAAAAAUGUACACACACUCCACAAAAACUCUCACUUUUGAAAGACUUUCACAGGCAUCACAAACAUUUGUUUAUAUUACACUCGUAUCAAUUUGGCAGGUUUUUUUCUUCUUAAUCCGAAGCAACCACCACUUCUUUGUGUUUGUAUUUCACAAAUUUCCUUACCACAUCUUACAAGAGCUGCACGACAAUCACAACAAUCCUGUACAAUAGGCACAGCCUUUUCAUUAACAUAAUCUCAGUGAAAUAUCUACUGUCUGUAUACUUUACACGCAAACAAAACAACUCAAGCUGAGAACUUUAUUGCUGAUUCACGUUAUACCACACCGCCUUCUAAUAUAGAUCUGAUCUAUAUUAUAUAUACGUGUACCUUAGAUAAUGCCUCUCUGAACGCCAUGGUGGGACGUUCCCGAGUUGAAGUACUGUACAAGUCCUAAGCAUUAGAUCACCCCAAUUACUCUUGUAUACUCUUUCCAUACCAUCGUGAUCUUUGCCUGACGAAACCAUACACAAAUCAUAAUUGACAUUUGGGGCCUAAUUCUAAAAUCACCACAUACCAAAUGCACAACCGUUUUGUCUUGCUGCCAUCACAAAAUAAUAAUGUUUAAACCUUAAGUAACAGGGUCACAGAGGGUGUAUAUAUUUUUCCACACUACAUGAAGUUUUGGGAUUCUUAUAGACUGUGGAACAGAAGUGUACUCAGUGUGUCUCCACCGUUUUAUUUCAUAUUGGAGUACAGCCAUUUUUCUUUUUUACCAUUAAGGAUGAAACACUUGUUUCUUUUAAAACACCGUCUUUAAAUGUUUUUCUACCUCCUAACUAAACCCUCGGACUUAAGACACGAUCUUUGGAGCUGUUGACGCCCUGCUCAGGGUUAAACAACAACGUCUUUACAUUACUUUCAUUAAUAAUUUGUCAAUCUAUCCUCUUGGUUUUUUUAUUUUUUUUUUGGAGCAAAAGUCAGGUCCUCUCUCAUUUCAACAGGUCCUCUUGUUGGUGAAUACACAGCAAUCUUCUAAGGGUAUUCGGAUUUCUCGGAGCAGACAUUGUAGCAGAUAGUUGCAGAGUUUCUUCUGUGUUUUAACCACAAUGUCUUAACCAUUAUUUUAACACUGAGACACACGACUCCCUUUAAUUCGUUAACAAACACAUUUGUAAGAAUUCUGGUCAGCAAAACCCCCAAAAGAACACCUGUGUGUGUGUGUGUGUGUGUGUGUGUGUGUGUGUGUGUGUGUGUGUGUGUGUGUGUGUGUGUGUGUGUGUGUGUGUGUCUGUCUGUCUGUCUGUCUGUCUCUCUCUCUCUCUCUCUCUCUCUCUCUCACACCCACCCCCGCACACCCACAUGGUCAUCAGAGGUCAUAAAUGUACUGCUGGGACAUGGGAUGUCGAAGCAUAGACGAAAGCUUAUGUAUUUAGCGAUAGUUCUGUGUAAGUAUCCUCGUUGGCGAACCAUUUUCUGAAAUCUUGUUUAUAGUUUAAACAAAAUGCACGACUCUUUUAAAACACCGUCUUUAAAAAAGGUUUUUCACCCUUAAAUUAACCUGGUUAGAAGGUAGGAUAUGUAAUACAUAUUUUAAUUUUCUUCAGACAUAUUGUCACUUCAGUCUCCACAACGAAUAACACCGAAGGUUUUGAGCUUUCUUUCAGUAAAAGAGAACAACGACAUCAUACAGCCUUGAAGGACUGUAGAAAUUUUUAUUUUACAUCCUAAAGGGUUAGGUUUAGAAGGCAUGUAAUACGCGCGUUUCUUAUAAAACACCGUCUUUAAAACGUUUACCUCCUAAAGGGACCUAUUUAGAAGGUAUGUAAAAACUUUUUUUUUUUUUUUUUACAUUUCUUCGGGUAUAUCAAUGUUUUAGAGUAUUUAUUUCAGUAAAUUUUUAUUCAAAGUCAUGCCAAUUUCUCAAAAGUGCAAUCAAUAAAGUUUAAUUUAUUUCACAAGCUUACAUUCUGCUCAUUUAUGUUCACAUUCAACCAUCGUGUAUUUUCUAACAGCGGAGCGAUACAAAACAAACCCCCACAAUCUAAAUUUAAUGUGUGGUUGCAAUAUAA
Molecule: RNA transcript, 4342 nt
Organism: Ictalurus punctatus (channel catfish)
Lineage: Eukaryota; Metazoa; Chordata; Actinopteri; Siluriformes; Ictaluridae
Gene name: TBC1 domain family member 10A-like
Exons: 8
Source: RefSeq, a predicted model, not a curated record